This is a long non-coding RNA of Corvus hawaiiensis (hawaiian crow), 9963 nucleotides long. RefSeq lists it as uncharacterized. The transcript has 2 exons. NCBI's taxonomy places the organism in Eukaryota, Metazoa, Chordata, Aves, Passeriformes, Corvidae. The record is from RefSeq and is a predicted model, not a curated record.
GAGCGAUUCCCGGUCGGUCCCGGGGCCGCGGGGGCGGGCGGGGAGCGCGGAACCGCGGGGAAGCCGCCACAGUGCCCCGGGAGCCAGCCGCUGACCGGCCCCGCGCGGGGGCGAGGAGGGAGAAGCGGGGCUGCCGGGAGCUGCUCACCCCGGCUGCGGGGCCCCGCCAGUACCGGGCGGCCGCGGGCGGGCCCCGCGGGGCGCGGAGAGGGUCGAGAUCCGUCCGCUCUGGCACUGCCCCGGCCGGGCACGGCCGGCCCUUCCCCCGGCCCCCCGACCUGCGGCGGGCAUUGCGCAGCGCCUGCCCCGGUCGGUAGCCCGGGCCGUAUCCCGGCCCGCUGAGCUCCUUCCCGCCCGAGCCUCCUCGGCAAGGCUGUGCGUCGCCCUUGUUGCUUGUAGGGCAGCGCCGCGUUUUGGCAUCAGCCGCGGCUUGUUUGACGGGUUUGGAUGGGAAACGUGACGGGAGCAGCGGUGUCCGGCAGCCAGAACCAAAAUUAACGUGCUCCAUCCACUGUAGCCGCAGAGGCAAAGCAGCGCGACGGGGUUGCUUAUUUGGUGCAGCUGUUCCCAUACCACUUCAUUAUUGCUUCCUGGACAUAAAGAGUUUCCAGUGCUCGAAUAUAAGCAGACAAUACGAGGUAAGAAAUACCAGCACAAGUUGUUGUGCAGUAACGCCAGUAACCUACUAACAGGAACAAUAUAGUUUGUCCUAAAGUAUUUAUUUUGUGCUUAUUUAGUGGAGAAUGAGAUGGUGCACGCCAACACUUGUGGAAUCACCCAUGCCAGUGAUUCAAUCUCUAGUUUGCUUGGUUGCUAAUCUGAAUUAUUUUCUCAGUCAGAACAGUACAGAAAUUGAGGCAAAGCUACUUAAUGAAGCUGCCCGUUUAAUUAGGCGCAAAUGACAGGAAAAGUUCUCAUCCUUGACUUUUUCCAUAAAUACCUCAAAACUCAGAAUUUAAGUCUUUAGAAAAAAGCCCUUGGAAAAGCUGAAUGUUUUAAUAAAAUGCAGAAACCUCAUCAUUGGUUUCAAAUAGACAAAUCAGCAUGAUAUCUUUAGCAAGUAUACAGUGAAAACCAAAAAAGCUACCUGAAAGCCCCUCUCAGCAUACCUUAUGUUCUGCUCUCUGCCUUUACCUUCCCAUACUCCCACAUUGUAAGAAAGGGAGUUUUAAGAGUUCCUGGGAGAUGAAAGUUGAAUUAAUUCAGGUUAAAGAGCUGAAGGUACAGCUCCCAUCAAGACUGCCAUGACUACAGCCUGAUCUACUGAGACAGUAGAAAUACUUUUGCACUCUCUCAAUUUUGCAGUUUUCCCAUGGGGGAAAAAGGCUGGGGGGAGGACAUGAUAGAGGGCUGGGUAAACAGGUUCUGUGGGUAUGGGGGAGAGGUGUGUGGUGUUAUUAUCAGGGAAGGGGAGGGGGCAGGGAGAUAGAGGUUGCUUAGUCUGUUUCAAGAUAACCAGGUCCUGUGGUCUUGUAAGGUUCUUCAGGUAACUACCCAAUGUCUUAACUUCUAUCUAGACACAAGCAGAAGUGCCUAUCUUCAGCACUUGUGUUUUCGUCUAGGUAGCCCUUCUUGUAUCAUGUAACCUGUAGUAUUCUCCAACAGUUUCUCUUUUAAGGUGAAGUUUUAUUGCAUUAAUCUAAUCUCAAAGUUACAAGGAUUACGAUAAUGCCAGCAGCGGCCUCUGUGUAUUACAGUAAAGGCCUGCAAUGAUCAUAAAAAGCAAAUUCAAUUACUGCUAUAAUGUUCAUAGCUGAUAACACCUUUGGAAAUAGAGGCAAAGGCUAAUGACUACUGGGAAGCUCUUUCAAGAGUGUUGGCUAUUACUUCCAAUGUCUCUGUUGACCAAAUCAUAGGCAUAGGCUGUUGGAUGUCAUCAGCCUUCUGCGAUGCUGUCUGUAACAGGAAGGUACCAAUAUGCUGUACUACACUUCUUUAGGAAAAGAAGCAAUUCUUCACUCACCCAUUACAGUCACUUGAAAAAAAAAAUACUGUGUGUGUGAUUCAGUAUUGAAUCGUUCAUGGUGUACAAGACUGUAGCUACUGUAACCAAACAUGCCCAAAACCAGAUGAACAUCUGAAAUACAUUUAUUUCUGCAAGGUGAUGAGUGCUUUAACAGAAUAAGGUCUAGAGCCAAACUAAAAAUCUCAAGGACCAAUUACAUGAAAAUUCUGCACUGUGUUUGACAACAAAAACAUAUUUCCCUUGACAUUAAGGCAAACUUGACAGGUAACUUUUCAAGCAGAAGCUAUAGUAGUGUGUCAUUCAAAGUAAUAAGCAGAUGGUGUAGUUUUCAAAAGGGACAUGUGCAAGUAUUCUGUGUAAUCCUGGAAGAGAUAAUGCCUAUAUUUGUCCACUAGUGAUGUUAUGUCAUUGCUGAAGAACUGAAAGAUACAGGUUUUAAGCACACCUUAGUCUGGAAGGAUUCAGAUUUGUAUCUCUUAUACUUCAGUUACUUCAAGCUGUACCACAACUGUGAAGAAGGGUGUAGUAACCCACAGUAUCACUCCUGGUAGAACUGGCUCUUCCUCAGUCUGGAAUAAAGGAGCCAGAAGAAGAGAUACCUUUGUGAUUCAUCAACUUACACAAGAGUAGGAAGAGCUACAUUCUCUUUGCUCCUGUGGUUGUGUAUUAAUUAGGCAAUCAUUAAGCUGGGGAGAAAAAAGUAAAACAAGAAAGUAUUUUUCCACUUUUGACCUAAAUCUUGUACCUGUCAGCUUUCUUGGUAAGGUCUUUAUUUCAUGUAUCUUAAGUUACUGCUGCAGGAUGCUGUUACAUGGAUAGGAUGGAGGGGACUAAAUUCUGCUUGAUAAAGUACUAAGCAUUUUGUGUAACUUUCAGUAAUUAGGGAAGGCAGGAGUAUCUCUGUAUUGGGCUUCACUUUACCUACCUACCAGAGAGUCAUGGUUAUGCAUGGCAAAGAUGUAAAUCAAUAUAUAGUGGAAUGUAUUACAGCUGUGUUCAAGAUUAUCAUAGAAUGAUUGCCUACGAGAUUGCACUUUUGAGUAGAUUAUUUCCAUGGGUAUGCAGUGGCUGUACAUGCAGUUUCUUUAAGUACUAGGCAGACUUUUUUCUAGAAAAGAUCGCAUUUUAGCAACAAGAAAAGGUGUGUCUGUCUAGAGAGGGCGGUGCUUCUGCUGUGCUCUUGAAAAAUCUCUGUGCAUUAAAAACAAAGUUUAGAUUGGUUUUGUUUCACACUCUCCAGUAGGAGAUGAAAAUGAAGUCUCAGGUAUGCCAGUUUUAUUACAGCGUUGUUGAGCAAGGCAGAAAAUGGUGGGAAAGAGGAAAAGAAAAGCAAUCUGACAAGGCAUAGAAGAGAAAAGAAUUGCAGCAGCUACAGAGAGAAAACUAAACUGAGGUACUGCAUUGUAAACAUAAAAUUUAUCCACUUUAUCAUCUUCAUAACAUCUUUUUAAUUGAACAGUGGGGGGGCAACACUGUUUACAGAACAUAUUUGAAUCCUGUAUUUUGAAGGUAUGUGUUGCCUCUAAGCUCAUAACAUUCCUACACCUUAUAAUUUAUGAACACUUGUAUUGUUUUAGUGCAUUUUACAGUUGUAUUAUCAGUAAUUGAUGCUUGUCCUAGGUCAAUAAAAGAAGCCAACUAAUCUCUUGAAACACACCGUACACAGUGUUUUCCCAGUGUUUCUAACCCCAUGCACAGCCCCAUGGCUUCAGUUAGUGUGCGAGGAUAUGACACUUCCAUCUCUGCAGUUACAAAAUUACUACCUUAGCUGUCUAGCUCUGUGCUCACACAGGGAGGAAUUUCAUAUGGCUUCUGGCCUGUCACUUUUGGUAGCAAUAAGUGAGCCAGCCUGUGCCCCACAUUGCAAAGUGGGAGUAGCAGUGAGUGUGUGUUGCUGUAAAUGCAGCCCUGAUCUGUGGGGCACUGAACUGACCAUUGCUAAAUAUAAUACCUGCCAGUGGAAGUCCAGCUAAUGCACAUUCAAGUUUAAAAGAUUACCGUAUUAUCAUAUCUGGAAAUUAAGAAUAUUGAGGCAUCUUGGCUAUUAUUUCAGACAUACUUGGGGUUUUUUACCUUCUGUCUGUUUUGAACUAGAUGCCUAAGUUUAAAACUAUCCAGGAUAACAUUCUGCAUAUUAAUUGUUGCAGUCAUCUCAACUACAGUAGUGCUCUCAGCAGCUUUUUAAAAGUUGCUACAUGUAACUAAAAAUACAAUGUCGAAUGACAUACUUAUGUGUAAGAUAAGGGGGGGCUGAGCUCUUUCUUCAGCUCCAGAUCUACCCCACCCCGAACUGGCCACAAACUAAUUACUAUUUUCCUAUAUCACAAGGAAAGCAAGUUUCGACUGAAACACAAUAGAAUUUAAAAUGCAGUUGAAGCAUUAAUUUAACUUUUCCUAACGUGUGAAAUGUGAAUGCAUAUGUAUAUUGACUUACACUGUGGGAUUGCUAGUGAUGUGUUGCAUAUGGUUCUUAAUGUUCAGUACUUAAAGAGCAGCAUUUCUUACAAAAGGAGCAUAUAUUUAACUGGACACAAGACAUCUAAAAUUAUAAAAAAACUUUAGUCUUUUUUAAAACUGCAGUAACAAGCAAGAAACAUUUGUAUUGCUGGGCCUUCUAAGAAAAUGUAAUUAAUCAGUCUGAAAAGGCCAGAAUUUUAUUUUUUACUAGAAGUCUUCUUUUCCUAUCUGCUCAAAAUACUUUAUAUUUUCCAAGUCUUUAUUAAAUGUAAAUCUUUGUUUUAUUGGUGAAGAGAAAUAUGUGGAGCUACAAAGCUGUGAGAAAAGAAAGGGACUAAGCAGUAUGAAUGUUGAAAGCUUCUGGAGAUGAGACAGAGUUGCUCAACAGUGUUCAUCCAAAGCAAAGGACAGAGCAGUGCUACAGUGGUUGUUGAUUACCCACACAAAGACCAUUGUGCUUCUGUGCUGUAGUAGCUCAGAGGCUCUUUUUUUAUCUGUCCAUUGCUAUUUGUGCCUUUUCUCUAAAAGGAAACAACAGCGUUCAAUUUCUUAAUAUUUUCUCAUGGUCCUUUUUCACUUUAGGAAGCCUAAACUUUGUUUUGAUUGUGGAUGACUCAUUGUCUCCCAUUUGUUCCUCCUACCCACAGUCUUUCUGUUGAGUGUGGGAGAUAUUUCCUCGAAUAUAGUAGCCACAUAUAUUUGAAUUAUCAUAUGCCCUGGAACCCAUUUCACUGUUCUCUACUCUUCAGAAGCUGUGAAACACUUUGUAGUUGAAUACUUCAAGUUGCUUGGAUGAAAGGCAUUAUGAAAGUGCAGAGAAUUAUUGCUUAAGCACUCAGAUAAAUUCAGGAUUUCCUCAUAGAAACUGGAAGUAUCCCAAAUCUCAUGCCAUCUUCGUUGGAAUUUGUAGGCUGGUGCAUCAUAAGUCCCUGUUUGACUGUCACCAGAGCUCAGAGGCCAGGUCAUAACAAUCAGUAAAACACGACUCUUGGGCUCAAAGCCAAAAGGUGAACAUCACUGGAUUUUUGCUUAUCUAGGAGAUCUGGCUUGUUUUGAGCUGCAGUCACUUCAUACAAGAUGGUAUCAUCCUAUAUAGCUAAUGCUGGAUCUGAUUAUUGUUUAAAAUGAGUUAAUUGUUUGAUCCUAGUAAGUCACUGUUACAGGUUUAUAAGCACAAUAAAGGAUAGGGUUCCCUUGCCUUGUGGUAUUCCACUUGAAUCUCCAGAAGUUCACUUUAAUCUCAUAGUUUCUGUAUGGCAUCUGCCUGCUCUGUGCAGAUGUGUCCUACACCUUUUGGAUGUCUGGAGUGGCCAUUGCAAACUGUUGAGCCAUCAGCUACAUCUCACUGUAAACAUACAGAAACGUUUUCUAUUAACCACUUCUGCUCUUGGCGUAGUUUGAACAACAGCUUGGGUUCAGGAUUUUGACAAGAACCAAAUUACUUUGUUGAAGGUAAUGCAGUCAUUCCCUAGCUUUGCCUUUCGGAAGUGGGUUAAUAUUUUACAUUCAUCUAGUCAUUGUGUUGGCCAGACCACAGAGUAGAGGCACAAGGGAAUAAGCUGAAAAGUUCGCUGUGGUGUAGAGGCAAAAUACAUGCAAAAAUCACUACUAAAUUUGCAGUGUCUGGAAAUUAUGCUUUACACUGCUGGCCAUUCUCAAAUUCUUACAGCUUUUUGUUACUAUUCUUAGUGUGAAAUGUUUUGUGCUUGGUCUCAGAUUAUGACUGAAAUAUAGGGAAGGGAAAUACAAGGCAUUUCUUCUAGAUUCAAUUUACUUCUGUAAAGAUCCCGUUCAUGUGAGUCUAAAUAUUCCUGUUUGUUUACAACAUGAGACAUUUCCAAUAGUGUACAACUUUUCUUAUAAUUUGUAAAAACUUUUAAGACCCUUCUCUAAUAGGCAGCUUUUUAUUAUGGAAGUUACUGUACAAUUCAUAAAUAAGGGUGAUCACUGACAUGUUAACAUUAUCUUUUAUGGUAUUGUAUUUGUUUAAAAAAGAGUAUAUGAAAGUUUCAUGGGCAGUUCUUCACCUUUUAGGUAUUUAAGUAACUUGUCAAAUUGUUAAAGAAAGGUUAUGACACUUCUUUGAUUGCAGGUUUUUGUUUUGACAGAACAGGUACAGCAACUGUCUCUGCUUUAAGCAUGUGCACACCCUACACACCUCAAAUUCUGAUAGGGCUAAAGAACUGUUACCCUGUCAGCAGAGCAGAGAAAUGCAAAAAUCAGUUUCCCAGAGAGUAUACUCUGCUAUUCAAUUUGCAUAAUAAUACUGUUUGUAUAUGUAUUAACAAAUAAAUACUUGGUCUGACAGCAUGCUCAAAAAACAACAGGUUGUGGGGGCAACUAUACAGGAAAAAGAAGGUACUGUUAAUUUUUGUUGUAAUGUUUUGAUUAAAGAAGGCCAACAUGAAAACAGGUAUUAAGUAAUGCAGAUUAGACAGCCUUCAUUCUUCCCACGGUAGAAAGGGCUGUAAAGUUCCUGUUACUUGGGAGGCUGGCAAACCAUUUCUCUGCUAGAGGUGGAAGGAAGGCACUGCUUGACUUAAAGCAUUUCCCCAUCUCUAGAAUUUUUCUACUUGGUUUUAAGAAGUCAUGACCUAGCCAAUUAAAUGGCCAAUUUUCAGGCCAGAAGGUGGUCUUCCCUUUAGCAAGUCAAUUAAAAUAUACAUCCCUACUUGGUUUUCCUUCCAGAUAGUCUAUUUAUAGCUGUCCAUCUGAUUCUCAUUACUAGAAGCAUAAUUGAUCUUUUAUCCCAUUUUGAAGUUUGUAUGCACCUGUCUUACAGGUUCAUAGCAAAAUCAAUUACCCCUCUGGCUACAGACACAUCCUGGUACUUCAUUAGGAGUUCAUCAGGGUAGGCGGAGUCCUGCCUGUCAGAGUGACACCAGGUGAUGAGUGGGGGAGUAAGAGCAGCUUGCACGCUCGUGCUUGUACCUGAUGUCACUUUGGUGUGGUCACUGACACACGGUUUUGAGGAGGUCUGGUAACAAAAACCAAAAACCAACCGACCAAAAAAUCCCACUUUGGCUGAGUUCAUUUAAUGAGGAGACUGAAAUAGAGAAUAAUUUGAAAACAGUACGCUUGGACUUUCCGGUUAUCACAACUAGAUAAUAGAAGAUCAGCACUGUAGUAAGAUGAGUGAUUAUUAUGUGACUGAAAUGACCAUUUUGCAAAUAGUAUUUAUGUAAUUUUGCUGUAAUUCAAUUCAUCUGACUGAUGUGGAGUUUGAUUAAUUCAGUAAGUAACACGUAUUUCAUUCAGUUUGUCCUCACAAAAAACUGCUGUUUUGGCUGUUUAUGAUCAAGAAUUUUGUUUUGUGUGCAAUCAUUAUUUGUGUCUGGUAAAAGACUUUAGUGGUCUUUACGCCCUUUUGGCUGAAAAGAAUACCUGAAAACAGUAGUUGUAGAUCAGAAGGCAUUGUAUGUUGGUAAUAUGAUGAAAUCAGUCAAAAUUAAUUUGUCUCAGAUCAUAAAAUAAAAAAUAAUGUAUUACACAUUCUCUCAUUUUUAGAAAUUAAAAUAUAUAAAAACAAUUUGCAGAAUCCUAAACUAUUCUGUGACUGUUCAAUUGUGAAAGUACACUAAGUCCUGAAUUUUAUGCGUGGUCUGGUUUUUUAUCUGUAAUUUUUUGACAUCGUUGUUUGUUAGAAAUAGUGGAGUUUUAUAUGUAAAUAUAUACAACCCGUGGCCCAAGUUGUAUGGAUUUGUAGCAUGCUUAAAGCUACAUCAUUAUGUCAUUACCUCUCAUUAAUUGUCAAAUUACCUAAAAUUGCUUUUCAUAUAACCUCCUUGUCCUUUUAUGUAGAUGUUUUAAGUUUGCAUGUCAGUGUGUGGACCACAAGCAGGUAGAGAAAUUUCUCCAGCUUCCUAAAGGUGAAGUAUUUUUCUUCUCCUCUGGCAAAAUGACCUGAUAGAAGCAAGCAAAGCAGGCUAAAGCUCGCAAAGGCACAUCCUUUGCAAAGCCGGGUCAUGCGCAGAGCACAGCCAAGCAGUGAGACUGAGAUUGUAUUGACAAGAACAAGAUGAAUGGCCCCCUGGAGACUAUGGGGUUUGUAUGCUCGUUUCCACCACCUUUUCAUCCUUUUGUACCCCCUUUCAGUUCAUAUGCAGAUUAACUCAAACCAAGUCCACACUAAAUACUCUUUUUCACUUUAGUUUUGGAAGGUAGGUGGAGGAUCUAAAUAUUUAUGAGGCUUUUUUCCUCUGGUUUAUGAUGCACUCUUGUUGAAUGUUGAGGAAUUACGUUAAUGAAUGCAUGCCUGCACACACAGACACAGAAACCAGGCAAAAGGAAAAAAAAAAAAACACACAAAGCAUUGUCAGCUCUAGUGUCGGCACUUACUAAAACAGUUCCCAUUUAAAAAAAAAAAAAAGGAAAGAGAUUUUAAAUCCAUUGCCAGGAGAAAAUAAAUUGUAUGGCUGAGCACAAAAGAAAGAACAAAGUUUCAUCUUUGCUUUCCUCAGCUGUAAAUGAAACUCUUGUUUCAGCUCUGAAUAAAAUUGAAAUAAAACAUGUUAAUUGAAAAAUGAGAGCUUGUCUGAAGUCUUAACUGGAUUUAUGUUUUCAUUAAUAAAGACCAAGCUUCAGUCCUGUACAAGUUUCCUUUAACAUCAGUAGUAAUAAAUAUGGUAUUUUUUGGUAUGAUACAAGGUGCAGUUAAGUAUACUUUAAUUAGACUUACAAGUCACAUAAUUGAAUGUCGCUGGUUUUGCCAUGAUUUUGCUGAGUUCAGUACACUUAGGAGAGUUAGUUUUUAUGAGACGGGUUUUUAUGAAAAUUGAACUUUUUUUAUUAAAUAAAAUAUACCAAGAUUAUAGCCAGAUAUACUAGAAUAUUAAUUUAUUUUCAGAAUGGUUAGUCAAAACUGUAACUUAAGUUACAGUUAAGUGUUAAGUACAGUUAAGUGUUUUCUAUAGAUGGAAGAGUAAAUGGCAUUAAAAUACUAGUACUGAAAUAUGGGCAUGUUAAUUCUUUUAAGACAACAUUAUCAAAAAGAGUCGACUCUUCAACCUAUAAUUAUCUUUGCCUUCCUUGCACCCCUUUUUAUUCUCCAGUACACACAUAGCUGUGCGAGAAAGGGACACAGCUCACACAAGUGGGACAGUAAAUUGUUCUGCAUUCAGGAAGCAGAACAAGAGAUUUUAAAAUGUGCUUUUGUGCUAUCCAUUUAAAAACCUACUGAAGCAUUUGCAAAAUACCAACUCUUCAAGUGCAGUAGUAUUUCUCUGUCUAGACUCAGUUAUUCAUAUUAAUAAUAUGCAUAUCUGAAGUCCAUAAAACAUUGUCGUAAUAAAUACAUUUAUCUUUUUAUGGUACUUUGUUUUCAAGGUAUUCAGUUUCAUAGGUAAUUAAAUCCAGUAAAGUCACCUGUAUUUCAUUUGUUCUAAACUUAUUGUUUACAAUCUUAAAACACUGAUUUUGCUAUUUUUAAUGAUUUCGCCUGUGUUACUUAAGGGUUAAGUGAAACAACUUUGUUUAGCAGAUCCCAAAACCGUAAAGCUGUAUAUAUGACCUAAUAAAAAAUUAGUAUUUAACAAUUGAAA